Corapipo altera (White-ruffed manakin) is the source of this 129-nucleotide long non-coding RNA. RefSeq lists it as uncharacterized. The transcript has 3 exons. NCBI's taxonomy places the organism in Eukaryota, Metazoa, Chordata, Aves, Passeriformes, Pipridae. The record is from RefSeq and is a predicted model, not a curated record.
UCCCAUACCGGGACUUCAAAGGCAGCGUUUACUGUGGGGAUAAACCCCUUAUCUCGGGCCCAAUUUAACAGCCCUUUGAGGGUACCUGUAUCAUAGGAUAACCCUCUCUUAGAAAGAAUAUGUUGGAGG